This 74-nucleotide transfer RNA is filed under the name Candidatus Aenigmatarchaeota archaeon. RNAcentral's name for it is "tRNA-Thr". It matches the Rfam family "tRNA". Rfam says of the family: Transfer RNA (tRNA) molecules are approximately 80 nucleotides in length. Their secondary structure includes four short double-helical elements and three loops (D, anti-codon, and T loops). Lineage: Archaea; Nanobdellati; Candidatus Aenigmatarchaeota. The record is from RNAcentral.
GCCUCAGUGGCUCAGUCUGGUAGAGCACUUGCAUGGUAAGCAAGUGGCCAUGGGUUCAAAUCCCAUCUGAGGCU